GACGAACGCUGGCGGCGUGCUUAACACAUGCAAGUCGAACGGAAAGGCCCUGCUUUUGUGGGGUGCUCGAGUGGCGAACGGGUGAGUAACACGUGAGUAACCUGCCCUUGACUUUGGGAUAACUUCAGGAAACUGGGGCUAAUACCGGAUAGGAGCUCCUGCUGCAUGGUGGGGGUUGGAAAGUUUCGGCGGUUGGGGAUGGACUCGCGGCUUAUCAGCUUGUUGGUGGGGUAGUGGCUUACCAAGGCUUUGACGGGUAGCCGGCCUGAGAGGGUGACCGGCCACAUUGGGACUGAGAUACGGCCCAGACUCCUACGGGAGGCAGCAGUGGGAAAUAUUGCCCAAUGGGCGGAAGCCUGAUGCAGAAACGCCGCGUGCGGGAUGACGGCCUUCGGGUUGUAAACCGCUUUCGCCUGUGACGAAGCGUGAGUGACGGUAAUGGGUAAAGAAGCACCGGCUAACUACGUG
Molecule: ribosomal RNA, 468 nt
Filed under: uncultured bacterium
Lineage: Bacteria
Description: partial 16S ribosomal RNA
Rfam family: Bacterial small subunit ribosomal RNA
Source: RNAcentral